RNAcentral lists this long non-coding RNA (271 nucleotides) under Rattus norvegicus (Norway rat). RNAcentral's name for it is "long non-coding RNA NONRATT001234". Lineage: Eukaryota; Metazoa; Chordata; Mammalia; Rodentia; Muridae. The record is from RNAcentral.
CACGGACUACAGAGUGGUGGGUCGAGUUACUUUCAGAGAUUCCAUUCUCAGAGAAGACCCAGCGCUUCAGGUGGAGGAGAAUUUAUGCACAGCGGACCCACCUGUGAACUCUGGCUAACUCUUCCAUCCACUACACAGGACUUGCCACAACGAUCUUGUCCAGGAGUGGGUGAAGAGCUGUCAGGCCUAAGCAUCCAUCAGCUAGUGUCUCCUGAAGCUCUGUUCACAGCCUGUUUCCAGGUUUAUCCAGAUCACAAAGGACUUGGAAUUU